Molecule: ribosomal RNA, 253 nt
Filed under: uncultured bacterium
Lineage: Bacteria
Description: partial 16S ribosomal RNA
Rfam family: Bacterial small subunit ribosomal RNA
Source: RNAcentral
UACGUAGGGUGCGAGCGUUGUCCGGAAUUACUGGGCGUAAAGAGCUCGUAGGUGGUUUGUCGCGUUGUUCGUGAAAACUCACAGCUCAACUGUGGGCGUGCGGGCGAUACGGGCAGACUAGAGUACUGCAGGGGAGACUGGAAUUCCUGGUGUAGCGGUGGAAUGCGCAGAUAUCAGGAGGAACACCGGUGGCGAAGGCGGCUUGCUGGGCCUUACCUGACGCUGAGGAGCGAAAGCGUGGGGAGCGAACAGG